GAAAUAUGCCUCGUCCAAAUGGACUAUGUCAUGUGGGUAAAAGGCACAGCAGAGCACGAAGGCCUCACAACAGAAAAAAACUGGUUGAAAUAGUCUUGGUUUUGUGAGAGAAAUCUCCCACUUACGGGUAUCAUCUCCAGAUUUAAUAAGAUGGGCCCCGAGUUGAAUUGCUGAAGAAUGACUGAUUUCUCUCUUCCCUUGAUGUGAAGACUGAGUCUUUUGUAGGUGCCACCUCAGUGUUCCCUCCCAGAAAUCCCCUUUUGGAGUUGUAGGUUCUUCUGGUUGUGCUAUAUGGGAUGCUGCCUCAACGUGGCUUGAUGAGCAGAGCCAUGUCUGUGCCCAGGAUCCGAACCAGUGAAACCCUGGGCCGCCAAAGCAGAGUGUGCCAACUUAAUCGCUCGGCCACAGGGCUGUCCCCUCUCAGAGGAUUCUUAUCUCCAAGGCUUAAGGAGCCUUGGAUUUGACUGCUGUAUGUCCACCAUCUCAUGGUGCAGCAUACAUAGAAAAUGACAAAUGAGAAUUUCAAAUGGGGGGUUUGACUGCCCUUGUGUCUGCUGCCCAGCUGCCUGGGGGCUGAGGAGGCUCAGGAUCGUGCACGCCUAUAACGGAAGCCCUGUACCAGACCGCAGCUCCGGCCAGAUAAGGGGUGUCACUGUGAUUUCUCAGCCUUGGCUGUUGUGGCUGUGUGGUUGUUCAACUCCCAGCCCUGAGUGUCUGUGUACGGGCUUCCCUGGAUUUUCUCAGAAAUCCAAAUGGUUGGCGCAAGGAUUCAGACAGACUUUGGAAACUGAGCUGCUGAGAGUUGAGAGCCCAGCUGGUAAGAAAUCAAAGGAACCCUUGCCUUGGGGAGAGCUUCUUAUUCAUCAAGACCAAAUAGGUAACCCAGAGAUGAAGAACGCAAGUAACCAUUGCAGUUAACUCUUUUUCUA
RNAcentral lists this long non-coding RNA (929 nucleotides) under Equus caballus (horse). RNAcentral describes it as "lncRNA (ENSECAG00000028706.3)". The record is from RNAcentral. Lineage: Eukaryota; Metazoa; Chordata; Mammalia; Perissodactyla; Equidae.